Molecule: ribosomal RNA, 942 nt
Filed under: Escherichia coli
Lineage: Bacteria; Pseudomonadati; Pseudomonadota; Gammaproteobacteria; Enterobacterales; Enterobacteriaceae
Description: bacterial SSU rRNA
Rfam family: Bacterial small subunit ribosomal RNA
Source: RNAcentral
CUACCAUGCAAGUCGACGGUAACAGGAAGCAGCUUGCUUCUUUGCUGACGAGUGGCGGACGGGUGAGUAAUGUCUGGGAAACUGCCUGAUGGAGGGGGAUAACUACUGGAAACGGUAGCUAAUACCGCAUAACGUCGCAAGACCAAAGAGGGGGACCUUCGGGCCUCUUGCCAUCGGAUGUGCCCAGAUGGGAUUAGCUAGUAGGUGGGGUAACGGCUCACCUAGGCGACGAUCCCUAGCUGGUCUGAGAGGAUGACCAGCCACACUGGAACUGAGACACGGUCCAGACUCCUACGGGAGGCAGCAGUGGGGAAUAUUGCACAAUGGGCGCAAGCCUGAUGCAGCCAUGCCGCGUGUAUGAAGAAGGCCUUCGGGUUGUAAAGUACUUUCAGCGGGGAGGAAGGGAGUAAAGUUAAUACCUUUGCUCAUUGACGUUACCCGCAGAAGAAGCACCGGCUAACUCCGUGCCAGCAGCCGCGGUAAUACGGAGGGUGCAAGCGUUAAUCGGAAUUACUGGGCGUAAAGCGCACGCAGGCGGUUUGUUAAGUCAGAUGUGAAAUCCCCGGGCUCAACCUGGGAACUGCAUCUGAUACUGGCAAGCUUGAGUCUCGUAGAGGGGGGUAGAAUUCCAGGUGUAGCGGUGAAAUGCGUAGAGAUCUGGAGGAAUACCGGUGGCGAAGGCGGCCCCCUGGACGAAGACUGACGCUCAGGUGCGAAAGCGUGGGGGAGCAAACAGGAUUAGAUACCCUGGUAGUCCACGCCGUAAACGAUGUCGACUUGGGAGGUUGUGCCCUUGAGGCGUGGCUUUCCGGAGCUAACGCGUUAAGUCGACCGCCUGGGGAGUACGGCCGCAAGGUUAAAACUCAAUGGAUUUGACGGGGGGCCCGCACAAGCGGGUGGGAGCAUUGUGGUUUAAUUUCGAUGCAACGACGAAGAACUUUA